UCGAACCUUCGACCCCUACCUCUGAAUUAGAAGGAAUCCUGGUUUUUAAGGAAGGCUCAAAAGUGCCAUUGAGCCACAAUUGAAAAAGCAAGAUGGGGCCACCUACCUGGCGGCUUUUAGGAUUUGUUCUUUGCUUCAGGUCUUGAGAGGCUAACUGCAUAUAUUAAUAAAGUCCACAUAAAAUGAGUUUCAUGAGGCA
RNAcentral lists this long non-coding RNA (199 nucleotides) under Lathyrus oleraceus (garden pea). Its description in RNAcentral is "Pisum sativum (pea) long non-coding RNA (PSAT_LNC020054)". Lineage: Eukaryota; Viridiplantae; Streptophyta; Magnoliopsida; Fabales; Fabaceae. The record is from RNAcentral.